GAUCGAUAAUGGCAAAUCCGCCGAAAGACGGGGACGCGAAGCUAUAGAGGGGGAUCCUUAUGAAGACAAGUGAUCUAGGUUUUUCAG
RNAcentral lists this non-coding RNA (87 nucleotides) under Desulfosporosinus youngiae. Its description in RNAcentral is "c-di-GMP sequence". It matches the Rfam family "c-di-GMP-I riboswitch aptamer". Rfam says of the family: GEMM was predicted in a large-scale screen for bacterial structured RNA regulatory elements. Lineage: Bacteria; Bacillati; Bacillota; Clostridia; Eubacteriales; Desulfitobacteriaceae. The record is from RNAcentral.